GAAACUGCGAAUGGCUCAUUAAAUCAGUUAUGGUUUAUUUGAUGGUACCUUACUACUUGGAUAACCGUAGUAAUUCUAGAGCUAAUACAUGCAGGAGGUCCCGACUUCGGAAGGGAUGUAUUUAUUAGAUAAGAAACCAAUCCGGCUUGCCGGUUGCGUGCUGAGUCACAAUAACUGCUCGAAUCGAAUGGCCUUGCGCCGUCGAUGGUUCAUUCAAAUUUCUGCCCUAUCAGCUUUCGAUGGUAGGAUCGAGGCCUACCAUGGCGUUUACGGGUAACGGAGAAUUAGGGUUCGAUUCCGGAGAGGGAGCCUGAGAAAUGGCUACCACAUCCAAGGAAGGCAGCAGGCGCGUAAAUUGCCCGAAUCCUGACACAGGGAGGUAGUGACAAGAAAUAACAAUACAGGGCUACUUUAGUCUUGUAAUUGGAAUGAGUACAAUUUACAUCUCUUCACGAGGAUCAAUUGGAGGGCAAGUCUGGUGCCAGCAGCCGCGGUAAUUCCAGCUCCAAUAGCGUAUAUUAAAGUUGUUGCAGUUAAAACGCUCGUAGUCGGAUUUCGGGGCCUGCCUGCCGGUCUGCCGAUGGGUAUGCACUGGCAGGCGCGUCCUUCCUUCCGGAGACUGUCCCUACUCUUAACUGAGCGGGGUCGGGAGACGGAUCGUUUACUUUGAAAAAAUCAGAGUGUUUCAAGCAGGCAGCUCGCUCUUGCAUGGAUUAGCAUGGGAUAAUGAAAUAGGACUUUGGUGCUAUUUUGUUGGUUUCGAACACCGAAGUAAUGAUUAACAGGGACAGUCAGGGGCACUCGUAUUCCGCCGAGAGAGGUGAAAUUCUCAGACCAGCGGAAGACGAACCACUGCGAAAGCAUUUGCCAGGGAUGUUUUCACUGAUCAAGAACGAAAGUUAGGGGAUCGAAGACGAUCAGAUACCGUCGUA
RNAcentral lists this ribosomal RNA (932 nucleotides) under uncultured eukaryote. RNAcentral describes it as "SSU rRNA". It matches the Rfam family "Eukaryotic small subunit ribosomal RNA", at positions 83 to 1022 of the family's 1831-position model. The record is from RNAcentral.